This 253-nucleotide ribosomal RNA is filed under the name uncultured bacterium. RNAcentral's name for it is "partial 16S ribosomal RNA". It matches the Rfam family "Bacterial small subunit ribosomal RNA", at positions 524 to 776 of the family's 1533-position model. The record is from RNAcentral.
GACGAACCGAGCGAACGUUAUUCGGAAUCACUGGGCUUAAAGGGCGCGUAGGCGGGUCAGCAAGUCAGGGGUGAAAUCCCACGGCUCAACCGUGGAAGUGCCUUUGAUACUGUUGAUCUCGAGGGAGGUAGGGGCGUGCGGAACUUCCGGUGGAGCGGUGAAAUGCGUAGAUAUCGGAAGGAACACCGGUGGCGAAAGCGGCGCGCUGGACCUCUUCUGACGCUGAGGCGCGAAAGCCAGGGGAGCAAACGGG